CACGAUAUGAUUGAAAUACUGACGAAAAUAUUAAUGAAAUUAUAGAAUCAAACAUAUCAAAAAAUACAGUUUAUAGUAAAAAAUUUGUAGGGAAAGUAUUUAUGAACUUUUAGAAUGAUAGAAAGUGUCAUUUAGAUGGAAUUCGGACGGCGAAAGAAUUGACAUUGAUUUUAAAGAAUUAGGCAGUGAUGAUGAUACAGAGUUCAAAACCAUGUGAAACCUAACAGAAGGACGUUUUGCCCGCCAUUCUAUACGAUGAAAACUGCAAUCAAAUCCCUGAAGAAGAAAACAAAGUUCGAUAGCAUCAAGCUCUGUAUAAAUAACGAAAAUGAAAGAUUUAUGGAAUUAAAUAUACUAUCACAUAGCAGCAGUACAAUUAGUUUGACUAGAUGAGGAAGCUGCUGCUUGCUUGACUGGCUUUUUUGUAUGGAAUAAAAAACGAUGGUUCUGUUACAAAUCGAGUUGAGUAUAUGUAUUCAGCAAGACUUAUCAAAGUGGUUCAAGAAUGUGUGCUGGAAUAAAAUUUUUAAUAGAAAAUGAGGACAACAACGUUUGUCAUGCCAGAUUAUUUCAAAAAUUGAUGCCAAAAAGGGGGCCAAAUAUUAAAAUCAAGAGAUUAAUCCUACGAAUAAAUCGUCUCUGGAAUUUCAAAAAUGAUCACUAGUAUGAAAAUAUGCCCAUUGUAAGAAGUACUAUUCAAAAUUGGACAAAAUCGUAUGCCGAAGCAAUUGGUUUGAAUACCAAGGAGAAAAAAUUACUAAUGACUUCACUAAAUCCACAGCUGUUAACCGAUUGGUCGAAAAUGGUGUACAAAAACAAGAGCUUGUAAAAAUUACGGGUCACAACAAUGCAAACUGAAUAAACACCCUACUUGAAUGUUGACGAAGAACAUCAUAAUCAAGUUAAUAGCAGUAUGCAUAUUGGAAAUACAUCUUUCUCAGUUAUAGAAAAUAACACGUCUGGAUCUUCACUUAACUUUUCUAAUUAUUCUUUUUGUAAUUAUACCUUUAAAUGAA
Diorhabda carinulata is the source of this 1016-nucleotide long non-coding RNA. RefSeq lists it as uncharacterized. The transcript is spliced from 2 exons. The record is from RefSeq and is a predicted model, not a curated record. NCBI's taxonomy places the organism in Eukaryota, Metazoa, Arthropoda, Insecta, Coleoptera, Chrysomelidae.